This 506-nucleotide ribosomal RNA is filed under the name uncultured bacterium. RNAcentral describes it as "partial 16S ribosomal RNA". It matches the Rfam family "Bacterial small subunit ribosomal RNA", at positions 29 to 523 of the family's 1533-position model. The record is from RNAcentral.
AGUGAACGCUGGCGGUAGGCCUAACACAUGCAAGUCGAACGGCAGCACAGGAGAGCUUGCUCUCUGGGUGGCGAGUGGCGGACGGGUGGGGAAUACAUCGGAAUCUACUCUGUCGUGGGGGAUAACGUAGGGAAACUUACGCUAAUACCGCAUACGACCUACGGGUGAAAGCAGGGGACCUUCGGGCCUUGCGCGAUUGAAUGAGCCGAGGUCGGAUUAGCUAGUUGGCGGGGUAAAGGCCCACCAAGGCGACGAUCCGUAGCUGGUCUGAGAGGAUGACCAGCCACACUGGAACUGAGACACGGUCCAGACUCCUACGGGAGGCAGCAGUGGGGAAUAUUGGACAAUGGGCGAAAGCCUGAUCCAGCCAUACCGCGUGGGUGAAGAAGGCCUUCGGGUUGUAAAGCCCUUUUGUUGGGAAAGAAAUCCAGCUGGCUAAUACCCGGUUGGGAUGACGGUACCCAAAGAAUAAGCACAGGCUAACUUCGUGCCAGCCGCCGCCGUAA